Molecule: long non-coding RNA, 1000 nt
Organism: Leopardus geoffroyi (Geoffroy's cat)
Lineage: Eukaryota; Metazoa; Chordata; Mammalia; Carnivora; Felidae
Exons: 2
Source: RefSeq, a predicted model, not a curated record
UGCUGGGUCCUCAGGCCUGGAACAGCUUCUUCUUCAGUUUCCAGACCUACGAAAGGUCCAUGACACAUAAAAUCGUUGUGCACAAUAGAUUUAACCUUCAGUUUCUGAAUAAAUGAAGGAGAUUAUAACAGUGCAGACUGGAAUCAACUCAAGGUGAAUAUUUAACAUUUUCAGUCAUCUCAGCCAUUAGGGAUUAUUCCCCAGCCAGCUCUCUAAUGCUUAUCCCCACUUGAAGUUCUCUGCUUUGUCCAGAAUCUUCUUUUCAUCCCCUUUCUUCUAGGAUCCUAACAAUCUCUCAGAGUUUUUAUUCCGUUGAGCAUCGACUUCUCUUUAUGUAUGUCAAUCCUCCCCACCCCAACCCCACCCCUAGUGCCCACAAGUACUUCUGAUAAAUAUUUGCUAUUCAAAUAAUGGAUUGCACUGUGAGAAUGCAGGUUUCACUGAGAGAAACCUUCCAGAAGCACCUGUCAGAUGUGUGUGAUUAUGGGAGUGAUGCAGACAGGUUUGUGGAUAAGAGAAAAACCUUUCUCCUUCCCAAAGAUAUGGAAAACAUUUCCCAGAAGCCACACAGAAUUGAGAUGUCAGAGAUGCAAAAGAGUCUGGGCUGCCUUCUCUCUUGUGUUAGAAAAUCUCAUAAUUCUGCCCCCACCCCCAUUCCCAGCAGACUUUCACAUCUCUUCAGCUAGAAAGAGAAUCACAUAGCCACGCCAAGAACCAUCAGAGCUUAGAGGAUGGAACUAGCCAAUCAUGAUUGGCUAAGAUGUAAGAAGAUUCACUACCUGGGGCAUGGUAUCUGUGAGCUGUAUGGAAGGGUGUGGUUCUCAAUGUCACAGUCCAAGAUUGAACUCCAGGUAUUACAUCCAUUCCCAAGGAGCAGGAAGAGAAAGACCAAAGGGGGGAGGACGGCUCACCCCUUCCCUGUAAGGGCCUGACCUGGGAAGUGCAUGGAACACUUCUGUUGUCUUGAGGAGUGAAUAAAUUAAUAGAGUUUUGAACAGCA